RNAcentral lists this ribosomal RNA (468 nucleotides) under Corynebacteriaceae bacterium 'ARUP UnID 267'. RNAcentral's name for it is "bacterial SSU rRNA". It matches the Rfam family "Bacterial small subunit ribosomal RNA", at positions 27 to 506 of the family's 1533-position model. The record is from RNAcentral. Lineage: Bacteria; Bacillati; Actinomycetota; Actinomycetes; Mycobacteriales; Corynebacteriaceae.
GGAUGAACGCUGGCGGCGUGCUUAACACAUGCAAGUCGAACGGAAAGGCYMCUGCUUGCASKGGUACUCGAGUGGCGAACGGGUGAGUAACACGUGGGUGAUCUGCCCUGUACUUCGGGAUAAGCUUGGGAAACUGGGUCUAAUACCGGAUAGGACAACUUUUUGGAUAUUGUUGUGGAAAGCUUUUGCGGUAUGGGAUGAGCUCGCGGCCUAUCAGCUUGUUGGUGGGGUAAUGGCCUACCAAGGCGUCGACGGGUAGCCGGCCUGAGAGGGUGUACGGCCACAUUGGGACUGAGAUACGGCCCAGACUCCUACGGGAGGCAGCAGUGGGGAAUAUUGCACAAUGGGCGCAAGCCUGAUGCAGCGACGCCGCGUGGGGGAUGAAGGCCUUCGGGUUGUAAACUCCUUUCGCUAGGGACGAAGCRUUUUUGUGACGGUACCUGGAGAAGAAGCACCGGCUAACUACGU